RNAcentral lists this ribosomal RNA (446 nucleotides) under uncultured bacterium. RNAcentral describes it as "partial 16S ribosomal RNA". It matches the Rfam family "Bacterial small subunit ribosomal RNA", at positions 330 to 792 of the family's 1533-position model. The record is from RNAcentral.
UCCAGACUCCUACGGGAGGCAGCAGUGGGGGAUAUUGCACAAUGGGGGGAACCCUGAUGCAGCGACGCCGCGUGGGUGAAGGAGCGUUUCGGCGCGUAAAGCCCUAUCGGCAGGGAAGAAGGAGGACGGUACCUGACUAAGAAGCCCCGGCUAACUACGUGCCAACAGCCGCGGUAAUACGUAGGGGGCAAGCGUUAUCCGGAUUUACUGGGUGUAAAGGGGGCGCAGACGGCAGCGCAAGCCAGGAGUGAAAGCCCGGGGCCCAACCCCGGGACUGCUCUUGGAACUGCGCGGCUGGAGUGCAGGAGGGGCAGGCGGAAUUCCUGGUGUAGCGGUGAAAUGCGUAGAUAUCAGGAGGAACACCGGUGGCGAAGGCGGCCUGCUGGACUGCGACUGACGUUGAGGCCCGAAAGCGUGGGGAGCAAACAGGAUUAGAUACCCCCGUA